GGCCGUAUUUGAAACUGAUAAACUAGAGUCUUUCAGAGGUGCGUGGAAUUCUGUGUGUAGGGGUAAAAUCCGUAGAUACACAGAGGAACACCAAAAGCGAAGGCAGCGCACUGGGAAAGUACUGACGCUCAUGGACGAAAGCGUAGGUAGCGAACGGGAUUAGAUACCCCGGUAGUCUACGCCGUAAACGAUGGAUACUAGGUGUUGGAGGAUUCGACCCCUUCAGUGCCGAAGCUAACGCAUUAAGUAUCCCGCCUGGGGAGUACGGUCGCAAGAUUAAAACUCAAAGGAAUAGACGGGGACCCACACAAGCGGUGGAGCAUCUGGCUUAAUUCGAUAUUGAGCGAGGAACCUUACCUGGACUUGACAUCUUGGGGAUUCUCUAGAAAUAGAGAAGUGCCUUUUAGGAACCCAAUGACAGGUGUUGCAUGGUUGUCGUCAGCUCGUGCCUUGAGGUGUUCGGUUAAGUCCGUGAACGAGCGCAACCCAUGUCCUGUGUUGUAUUUUUCACAGGAGACUGCCGGUUCAAAACCGGAGGAAGGUAUGGAUGACGUCAAAUCAGCAUGACCCUUAUGUCCAGGGCUGCACAGGUGCUACAAUGGCUGGUACAAUUGGUAGCAAUGUCGUAAGGCGGAGCCGAUCCUAAAAACCAGUCUAAGUUCGAAUUGAGGGCUGCAACUCGCCCUCAUG
This 690-nucleotide ribosomal RNA is filed under the name uncultured bacterium. Its description in RNAcentral is "bacterial SSU rRNA". It matches the Rfam family "Bacterial small subunit ribosomal RNA", at positions 619 to 1322 of the family's 1533-position model. The record is from RNAcentral.